Molecule: ribosomal RNA, 493 nt
Filed under: Paraharmochirus tualapaensis
Lineage: Eukaryota; Metazoa; Arthropoda; Arachnida; Araneae; Salticidae
Description: partial 16S ribosomal RNA
Rfam family: Bacterial large subunit ribosomal RNA (bases 109-403)
Source: RNAcentral
UAAUUUGUCUUUUAAUUUAAGACUGGAACAAAAGAUUUAACAUUUUAAUUUAUUUAUUUGAUUUAAAAUUUAAAUUUUUCUUAAAAGUAAAAAGACUUUUAUUAAAUUGAAAGACGACAAGACCCUAUUGAACUUAACUUUAGUUAAACUGGGGCAGUCAAUUAAUUAUCAUUUUAAUACACUUAUUAACCAAUCAAUCUAUUAAUUAAUAAAUAAUUCAGUUACCAUAGGGAUAACAGCGCAAUAAUCUUUUAGAGUUCUUAUCUAAAAAAAAGUUUACGACCUCGAUGUUGAAUUAACUACCUUUUAAGAGCAAAUUUUUACAAAAGGAAGUCUGUUCGACUUUUAAAUAGUUACAUGAUUUGAGUUCAGACCGGUAUAAGCCAGGUCGGUUUCUAUCUUCUUUUAUAAUUUUAUGUAGUACGAAAGGACCUAUAAAUAUUUUUUAUUAAUUUGGCAGAAAAAUGCAUUAGAAUUAGAAUCUAAUAAAGAU